RNAcentral lists this ribosomal RNA (400 nucleotides) under uncultured bacterium. RNAcentral's name for it is "bacterial SSU rRNA". It matches the Rfam family "Bacterial small subunit ribosomal RNA", at positions 29 to 414 of the family's 1533-position model. The record is from RNAcentral.
AAUCAACGCUGGCGGCGUGCCUAACACAUGCAAGUCGAACGCGAAAGUCCCGCAAGGGAUUAGUAGAGUGGCAAACGGGUGAGUAACACGUGGGUGACCUGCCUUCGAGCGGGGGAUAACGUCCCGAAAGGGACGCUAAUACCGCAUAACAUCCUGCCUUUUAAGAGGCGGUGAUCAAAGCCGGGGAUUCGCAAGAACCUGGCACUUGAAGAGGGGCCCGCGCCUGGUUAGCUAGUUGGUGGGGAAUGGCCUACCAAGGCAACGAUCAGUAUCCGGCCUGAGAGGGCGGACGGACACACUGGGACUGAGACACGGCCCAGACUCCUACGGGAGGCAGCAGUGGGGAAUUGUUCGCAAUGGGCGCAAGCCUGACGACGCAACGCCGCGUGGAGGAUGAAGA